This 444-nucleotide ribosomal RNA is filed under the name uncultured bacterium. Its description in RNAcentral is "SSU rRNA". It matches the Rfam family "Bacterial small subunit ribosomal RNA", at positions 1 to 458 of the family's 1533-position model. The record is from RNAcentral.
GGCUUAGAGUUUGAUCCUGGCUCAGGACGAACGCUAGCGGCGUGCUUAACACAUGCAAGUCACGGGGGCCCGCAAGGGCAACCGGCGAACGGGUGCGUAACACGUGAGCAACCUGCCGAUGUCUGGGGGAUAGCCGGCCCAACGGCCGGGUAAUACCGCAUACGCUCAUCGGGCGGCAUCGCCUGGUGAGGAAACCUCCGGGGGACAUCGAGGGGCUCGCGGCCUAUCAGCUAGUUGGUGGGGUCAUGGCUCACCAAGGCGACGACGGGUAGCUGGUCUGAGAGGAUGGCCAGCCACAUUGGGACUGAGAUACGGCCCAGACUCCUACGGGAGGCAGCAGUGGGGAAUCUUGCGCAAUGGCCGAAAGGCUGACGCAGCGACGCCGCGUGUGGGAGGAAGCUCUUCGGGGUGUAAACCACUGUUGCCCGGGACGAACCGCCUUUU